Molecule: long non-coding RNA, 627 nt
Organism: Olea europaea var. sylvestris
Lineage: Eukaryota; Viridiplantae; Streptophyta; Magnoliopsida; Lamiales; Oleaceae
Exons: 3
Source: RefSeq, a predicted model, not a curated record
UUCUUUUUCCUUUCCAUUUCGGUUUCUUUCUUCUCCUCUCUGCCUAAUCGAUCUUGGCAUCGUCAUCAAUCAGCCAUUCAUUGCAGUCCAAACCCUUAUCCCUUUUUGCAAAAUCUUCUCCUUCACCUAAUCGACCUCCUUUACAAUUUUCUCGAAAUCAUAAUAUGCACCUGCGUCAGUUGAUUUUGGUGCUAGAGAAUCUUGGAGUAAGUUUUAAAUAUUUACAGAUAGUUCGGGUCUGGAGCGUUUUUAGUCUCCGAGUGAAGGGAUUGGAAUCAAUCAAUGGCCAUGAAUGUGAUUAAUUGUUUUACGCAAGAUUUAAGAAUGGUGAAACCAAGUUUCCGGCAGGGGAUUUCUAGUAAAAGCUUAAUAUUCAUUAACAAAGGAGAUCAUUAAGGAUUCACAAGCCCAAAACUAUGUUAACCUUGAAGAAAAUUUACUAGAGACCAGAAAGGGAAAGAAGAAGAGGAGCCAGAAUCACCAUGAACGGCAGAGAAAUACCUUUGCCAAAAAGAAAGUUAAAGAACUUGAUCAAGAAACGAUUAUUUUGUUCUAUUUGAAUAGGCUAUAUUUUGAGUUGUAAUCUAUACUUUGGUAUAUUGCUAUCAACUUUUCUUUGACUAGGCU